AGUCAUUCCAGUUUAUUUUUAGUGCAAUAGUUCAAAUAUAAUCUUUAAUUUAAAUAUUUAAAAUGCAUUUUCAUGUUGUGACCUUAGAAAACAUUCAACUCUUCCUUUCCUGUUAUUGUUUAAAGGUUGAUAAAAAAAACAAAAAAAAAACAAAAAAAAAACAGAAUAUACUGGCAAGGUUCAGGAAGAAAGAGGACCUGAAAGCAGGACUUUCAGCAAACCAGGGAAACAUAAAGUUGACCUUUUUAUGAAAGUAGGAUUCAAAAAUCCCCAAAGUGCAAAAAAAAGAAAAAAAAAAAGAAAAAAACACACAAAAAAUUUAAUUUAAAAACAGGAACUGGUCAUCACAAGGGAGGUUAAACAGACACACUGACAAAGACUGAAGGAGACAAAGACUGAAGGAGACUAUCACAAAUUAGGGAAAAAGAUAACGGCUGCCAAGAUGUAUUAUCAACGUCUAAGUUUCUAUGGAGUGAGAUUCUUUUACUUGACUGCCCUGGGGCUGAAAAAUGAAGCCAACCCAAAAGCAUGUCUUUUAUCCUGUCUUCCUUCUCUCACCCCAACCGGUCGCAGCAGAUGGCCCCGCCCCUCCCUGAGCCUGGUUCUGCCGGAGGUUUCUUCCUGUUAAAAGGGAGUUUUUCCUUCCCACUGUUGCCAAAGUGCUUGCUCAUAGGGGGUCAUAUGAUUGUUG
Long non-coding RNA from Astatotilapia calliptera (eastern happy), 691 nucleotides. NCBI's taxonomy places the organism in Eukaryota, Metazoa, Chordata, Actinopteri, Cichliformes, Cichlidae. The record is from Ensembl.